Juglans regia (Persian walnut) is the source of this 506-nucleotide long non-coding RNA. RefSeq lists it as uncharacterized. The transcript has 3 exons. NCBI's taxonomy places the organism in Eukaryota, Viridiplantae, Streptophyta, Magnoliopsida, Fagales, Juglandaceae. The record is from RefSeq and is a predicted model, not a curated record.
CAAGUGUUAUUCCUUCACCUCUCGGUUUCCUCUAACCCGUGCUAUCUCUCUUCUCUCAAAGCCGAUCUCUCUCUUUUCGUAAACAUAAGAUCUCCACCGAAAACUUUCAAGGAAAUCAACCUUGUAACUUUGAGAUUUCGGAUUUCUCUUUCCCUUCUCAUUUGCUGUGUAUUUUCGUGGCUUGAAAGGGGACCCAAACAGGUAUGAAUGAUGAGGCUGUGGAGCUAGGCACUGCAGAGGAGGGAGGGGCCGAUGCUUAGAGUUCCCUGUCGGUUCAACUUUUGAUAAUAAUGGUUAUGUUUUUUAUGUUUUUAUGAUGGAUCCCAUGUUGGGACAUUUUGUUGGUUUGACUUUAAAACAAUAUUUCUUCGGGCAUGAUGUAAAUACUAUGGUGGAGUGAUGGUAAUGGUGUAACUUCUAUGGUGGGGUGAUGGUAAUCCCACAUAAGAAGGUUUAACGCCUUUUGUAUGUGUUGUAGGGACUGAGUCCCCUCUUAAUUGUUUUGA